AUGUGCCCACACUCAUUUCCCGGCUUGCUGGAGAUGAUGACUCUCAUGUUGAAGCACUGUAAAACUGAAGCAAUGACGUGUGCCUGUCCUUAUAGCUGCAACCUGAGGGAUGUGCACAAACAGCCAUGCUGCUGGGAGAAUGGAGAAUCUCUCUAAGGCCUCUCUCUGCAAGUGCCUUCAGAAAGUGCAACAUUGCUGCUUUCCUUGGCAAGCUGUCAAUGUCUGGUAGGAGGAAUUCCUGGGAGAAAAAGCACUGAUGAAGAAUUUUAUACCAGAGAAGGUGAUGAUCCCACCAAGAUUUUUGGUGCUCAUUUGAAGGUACAGAUUAUCCAUAUGAAAACCUUUUCUCCCCAUAAUUUAAUACCCUUCAUGCCUAAAAUACUGAAGAAGUAAAAGCUUGAAAAGCACCAGCAACAAGUGGGGAAUGUACUGGGCGUUAUGGAUGUCCCCUACAGACAUUAAGGACAUUUGGCUAGGUCUGUAUCAUACUGCGCUGCCCCAGGGUGACAAAUGACUGCCUCAGAAAUGGAAGAAGACCUGGACAAUUCGCAAGAUAAAGCCUGUAUUGAAAUGAGCAUGCUAAAACACACUGUCUGUUUUGCCAUGAGCUGUCCUUUAUCACACACACUCCCAUAUAUCUUGCUUUGCACCCACGGUAUAAAGAAUGUUUUAAAAUUAUUCAAAUUUAAGAAGUGCUCCUACUUUGAACAUUAGCCCAUCAAUGCAGCAUUUCGGAUCCAUUGCUCUCUGCCUGCACUAUAGCACUGAUGCACAGGUCAGUCUUGGGAGUGAAAUUCCAGUCCUGACUUUUACAAAUUCCGCAACACAUACACAGAAAUGAUGUGCACAGAAAUGAUUUGCAUGAAGAGCUCUCAUUGUCUGCAAGGUCAUAUAGUUUAUGAGCGCUGUUAAAAGUCUCCUCCUGGUAAGAUCUCAACAUUUAUGUAGAAAGAUUGUUUUCCUCUCAUUAUGGUAUCUUGGGAAUUUUUCACCUUUUCUUGGGUUCCUGUUUGGCUUCAACAAUUUUUAAGAAAGUUUCCAGCAUGUUGGUAAGCACACUGGAAGUGUGCAGUGAUAGAACAUCUUGCCAAAGUGCUCUCUGUUUUCCAAGAAGGUACUAGGAGCACUGACUGAGCCUUGGUCCUCUCUUGUCUUCAGUCACUACCAGAGAAUAUUUUUUCCUUUGACUUGGCACAGGGAGUAGGAGCAGAAAUUACCAUCUCAAUUUUAUUUAUUCCAACAACAUCUUGUAGACAUUUGCUUUUGUGACACCCUUCCAGAUGGGACUGAGCAUGCAGCUAUUUGAGUCCCAGAGCUCUACAGAUGUCCAGAUGGAAGACUAGAGUGCACAGCAAUCAGUGAGUAAUUGGUGAUCAAAAACUAGAUGACAGACAGUGCAAAAUGAAAACAGAUGAAAUGAAUUUCCGAAUGGAUCCUGCCAAGUUUCAUUUUCUCCACAAGUUCUUGGAAAGCCCAGAACCUAUUCCCA
Melospiza melodia melodia is the source of this 1489-nucleotide long non-coding RNA. RefSeq lists it as uncharacterized. The record is from RefSeq and is a predicted model, not a curated record. The transcript has 3 exons. NCBI's taxonomy places the organism in Eukaryota, Metazoa, Chordata, Aves, Passeriformes, Passerellidae.